This 460-nucleotide ribosomal RNA is filed under the name uncultured bacterium. Its description in RNAcentral is "partial 16S ribosomal RNA". It matches the Rfam family "Bacterial small subunit ribosomal RNA", at positions 338 to 795 of the family's 1533-position model. The record is from RNAcentral.
CCUACGGGUGACAGCAGUGAGGAAUAUUGGUCAAUGGACGAGAGUCUGAACCAGCCAAGUAGCGUGAAUGAUGACUGCCCUAUGGGUUGUAAACUUCUUUUAUAUGGGAAUAAAAUGUUCCACGUGUGGGAUUUUGUAUGUACCAUAUGAAUAAGGAUCGGCUAACUCCGUGCCAGCAGCCGCGGUAAUACGGAGGAUCCGAGCGUUAUCCGGAUUUAUUGGGUUUAAAGGGAGCGUAGGUGGAUUGUUAAGUCAGUUGUGAAAGUUUGCGGCUCAACCGUAAAAUUGCAGUUGAAACUGGCAGUCUUGAGUACAGUAGAGGUGGGCAGAAUUCGUGGUGUAGCGGUGAAAUGCUUAGAUAUCACGAAGAACUCCGAUUGCGAAGGCAGUUCACUGGACUGCAACUGACACUGAGGCGCGAAAGUGUGGGUAUCAAACAGGAUUAGAUACCCUGGUAGUC